AGAGUUUGAUCAUGGCUCAGGAUGAACGCUAGCUACAGGCUUAACACAUGCAAGUCGAGGGGAAACGACAUCGAAAGCUUGCUUUUGAUGGGCGUCGACCGGCGCACGGGUGAGUAACGCGUAUCCAACCUGCCCAUCACUUGGGGAUAACCUUGCGAAAGUAAGACUAAUACCCAAUGACGUCUCUAGAAGACAUCUGAAAGAGAUUAAAGAUUUAUCGGUGAUGGAUGGGGAUGCGUCUGAUUAGCUUGGUUGGCGGGGUAACGGCCCACAAGGCGACGAUCAGUAGGGGUUCUGGAGAGGAAGGUCCCCCANACUUGGAACUGAGACACGGUCCAAACGUCCUACGGGAGGCA
This 356-nucleotide ribosomal RNA is filed under the name uncultured bacterium. RNAcentral describes it as "bacterial SSU rRNA". It matches the Rfam family "Bacterial small subunit ribosomal RNA", at positions 8 to 350 of the family's 1533-position model. The record is from RNAcentral.